Molecule: ribosomal RNA, 385 nt
Filed under: uncultured bacterium
Lineage: Bacteria
Description: bacterial SSU rRNA
Rfam family: Bacterial small subunit ribosomal RNA
Source: RNAcentral
GACGAACGCUGGCGGCGUGCUUAACACAUGCAAGUCGAGCGGUAAGGCCCUUUCGGGGGUACACGAGCGGCGAACGGGUGAGUAACACGUGGGUGACCUGCCCUUAGCUCUGGGAUAAGCCUGGGAAACUGGGUCUAAUACCGGAUAUGACUCCAUGACGCAUGUUGUGGGGUGAAAGCCUUGUGCGGCUAGGGAUGGGCCCGCGGCCUAUCAGCUUGUUGGUGGGGUGAUGGCCACCAAGGCGACGACGGGUAGCCGGCCUGAGAGGGCGACCGGCCACACUGGGACUGAGACACGGCCCAGACUCCUACGGGAGGCAGCAGUGGGGAAUCUUGCGCAAUGGGCGAAAGCCUGACGCAGCGACGCCGCGUGAGGGAUGACGGCC